RNAcentral lists this ribosomal RNA (253 nucleotides) under uncultured bacterium. RNAcentral describes it as "partial 16S ribosomal RNA". It matches the Rfam family "Bacterial small subunit ribosomal RNA", at positions 524 to 776 of the family's 1533-position model. The record is from RNAcentral.
UACAUGUGGGGCGAGCGUUGUUCGGAAUUACUGGGCAUAAAGGGUGCGUAGGCGGUCUGAUACGUCUGGGGUGAAAUCCUUCGGCCCAACCGGAGGUCUGCCUGAGAUACGGUCAGACUGGAGUGCGUGAGGGGUGACUGGAACGCGUGGUGUAGCGGUGAAAUGCGUAGAUAUCACGCGGAAGGCCAACGGCGAAGGCAGGUCACUGGCACGCAACUGACGCUGAGGCACGAAAGCGUGGGGAGCAAACAGG